Molecule: long non-coding RNA, 425 nt
Organism: Myotis lucifugus (little brown bat)
Lineage: Eukaryota; Metazoa; Chordata; Mammalia; Chiroptera; Vespertilionidae
Exons: 2
Source: RefSeq, a predicted model, not a curated record
GAACAGAGCACCUGCCCCAUUGUGCGAGAGUGGAGAAAGCCCAGAAUCUGUUGGCGAUGGCUCAGCUUCAACACUUGUCUCUGUUGCCUUCCACCUGCAUUUUCUUGGGCGAGUCCCACAGUCUCUCUGAGCAUCCCCAAUUUCCAUAUCUGUAGAGAGGGGGAGUCCCAUGUCCACGAGUCUUCAGCCAACAGCCCCUGGGAGAAGGCUCACACCCAAGACUUCGCCCAUGCGUUGCAGGCCACCACUCCGCUCCAUCCACGCCUGCAGAUCUGUGCUGCUCAGGUUUUUCUCACAGCCUGUCUCUCCCCAGAACUCUGGCACUGAGACCAGAUGGGGCUGGGCUCACUGAGAUAGCCAAGUGACAUCACCACACUGGACCCAGCAUCAUCCUGCCCUUCCCACAAUAAAUGCUUUGGUAUCAG